GACGAACGCUGGCGGCGUGCUUAACACAUGCAAGUCGAACGGAAAGGCCCUGCUUUUGUGGGGUGCUCGAGUGGCGAACGGGUGAGUAACACGUGAGUAACCUGCCCUUGACUUUGGGAUAACUUCAGGAAACUGGGGCUAAUACCGGAUAGGAGCUCCUGCUGCAUGGUGGGGGUUGGAAAGUUUCGGCGGUUGGGGAUGGACUCGCGGCUUAUCAGCUUGUUGGUGGGGUAGUGGCUUACCAAGGCUUUGACGGGUAGCCGGCCUGAGAGGGUGACCGGCCACAUUGAGACUGAGAUACGGCCCAGACUCCUACGGGAGGCAGCAGUGGGGAAUAUUGCACAAUGGGCGGAAGCCUGAUGCAGCAACGCCGCGUGCGGGAUGACGGCCUUCGGGUUGUAAACCGCUUUCGCCUGUGACGAAGCGUGAGUGACGGUAAUGGGUAAAGAAGCACCGGCUAACUACGU
Molecule: ribosomal RNA, 467 nt
Filed under: uncultured bacterium
Lineage: Bacteria
Description: partial 16S ribosomal RNA
Rfam family: Bacterial small subunit ribosomal RNA
Source: RNAcentral